UACGGGGGGGGCAAGCGUUGUUCGGAAUUACUGGGCGUAAAGGGCUCGUAGGCGGCCAACUAAGUCAGACGUGAAAUCCCCAGGCUCAACCUGGGAACUGCGUCUGAUACUGGAUGGCUUGAAUCCGGGAGAGGGAUGCAGAAUUCCAGGUGUAGCGGUGAAAUGCGUAGAUAUCUGGAGGAAUACCGGUGGCGAAGGCGGCAUCCUGGACUGGUCCUGACACUCAGGAGCGAAAGCGUGGGGAGCGAUCCGG
This 253-nucleotide ribosomal RNA is filed under the name uncultured bacterium. RNAcentral describes it as "partial 16S ribosomal RNA". It matches the Rfam family "Bacterial small subunit ribosomal RNA", at positions 524 to 776 of the family's 1533-position model. The record is from RNAcentral.